CCUACGGGUGGCAGCAGUCGAGAAUCAUUCACAAUGGGGGAAACCCUGAUGCUGCGACGCCGCGUGGGGGAAUGAAGGUCUUCGGAUUGUAAACCCCUGUCAUGUGGGAGCAAAUUAAAAAGAUAGUACCACAAGAGGAAGAGACGGCUAACUCUGUGCCAGCAGCCGCGGUAAUACAGAGGUCUCAAGCGUUGUUCGGAAUCACUGGGCGUAAAGCGUGCGUAGGCUGUUUCGUAAGUCGUGUGUGAAAGGCGCGGGCUCAACCCGCGGACGGCACCUGAUACUGGGGGACUAGAGGAAUGGAGGGGGAAGCGGAAUUCGCGGUGUAGCAGUGAAAUGCGUAGAUAUGGCGAGGAACCCUCGUGGCGAAGGCGGGUUCCUGGACAUGAACUGACGCUGAGGCACGAAGGCCAGGGGAGCGAAAGGGAUUAGAUACCCGGGUAGUC
RNAcentral lists this ribosomal RNA (446 nucleotides) under uncultured bacterium. RNAcentral describes it as "partial 16S ribosomal RNA". It matches the Rfam family "Bacterial small subunit ribosomal RNA", at positions 338 to 795 of the family's 1533-position model. The record is from RNAcentral.